RNAcentral lists this long non-coding RNA (257 nucleotides) under Trifolium pratense (red clover). RNAcentral's name for it is "long non-coding RNA (TPRA_LNC006765)". The record is from RNAcentral. Lineage: Eukaryota; Viridiplantae; Streptophyta; Magnoliopsida; Fabales; Fabaceae.
UCUUUACAAAUUUUUUUUGACAAAUUCACCAUGAUUCUACCAUAAGAUCGAAAAUACACUAAACUCACCUGCUUGACCUGAUUUUUUUAAAGAUUUUAUUUUGUAGUUAAAAAAGCGGAAAUAUUUAUAAAAUAUAAAAUUGAAAAUUGAAAAUUUUGUAUAGAAACUAAAAUAAAAAAUAGAUAUUUAACCCUUAAAACCCCAAUAUUUUUCUAAACCUUGGUUUCUAAAAAAGUGUAUUCAAUCUUGGUCUUUGG